This 500-nucleotide ribosomal RNA is filed under the name uncultured Oscillibacter sp. Its description in RNAcentral is "bacterial SSU rRNA". It matches the Rfam family "Bacterial small subunit ribosomal RNA", at positions 8 to 507 of the family's 1533-position model. The record is from RNAcentral. Lineage: Bacteria; Bacillati; Bacillota; Clostridia; Eubacteriales; Oscillospiraceae.
AGAGUUUGAUCCUCGCGUCAGGACGAACGCUGCGGGCGUGCUUAACACAUGCAAGUCGAACGGAGUGCCUCGGAAAGAGAUUCGGUCAAUGGAAGAGGUUACUUAGUGGCGGACGGGUGAGUAACGCGUGAGGAACCUGCCUUCAGAGGGGACGAACAGUUGGAAACGACUGCUAAUACCGCAUAACAUAUGUUUGUCGCAUGGCAGAUAUAUCAAAGAUUUAUCGCUGAGAGAUGGCCUCGCGUCUGAUUAGCUGGUUGGUAGGGUAACGGCCUACCAAGGCGACGAUCAGUAGCCGGACUGAGAGGUUGGCCGGCCACAUUGGGACUGAGAUACGGCCCAGACUCCUACGGGAGGCAGCAGUGGGGAAUAUUGGGCAAUGGGCGCAAGCCUGACCCAGCAACGCCGCGUGAAGGAAGAAGGCUUUCGGGUUGUAAACUUCUUUUAGGAGGGAAGAGCAGAAGACGGUACCUCUUGAAUAAGCUCCGGCUAACUACGUG